CCUACGGGUGGCAGCAGUGGGGGAUAUUGCACAAUGGGGGGAACCCUGAUGCAGCGACGCCGCGUGGGUGAAGGAGCGCUUCGGCGCGUAAAGCCCUAUCGGCAGGGAAGAAGAUGACGGUACCUGACCAAGAAGCCCCGGCCAACGUCGUGCCAGCAGCCGCGGUAAUACGGAGGGGGCAAGCGUUAGCCGGAAUGACUGGGGGUAAAGGGGGCGCAGACGGCAUGGCAAGCCAGGGGUGAAAGCCCGGGGCCCAACCCCGGGACUGCUCUUGGAACUGCAUGGCUGGAGUACAGGAGGGGCUGGCGGAAUUCCUGGUGUAGCGGUGAAAUGCGUAGAUAUUAGGAGGACCACCGGUGGCGAAGGCGACCUGCUGGACUGUGACUGACGUUGAGGCCCGAACGCGUGGGGAGCAAACAGGAUUAGAUACCCCUGUAGUC
RNAcentral lists this ribosomal RNA (440 nucleotides) under uncultured bacterium. RNAcentral describes it as "partial 16S ribosomal RNA". It matches the Rfam family "Bacterial small subunit ribosomal RNA", at positions 338 to 795 of the family's 1533-position model. The record is from RNAcentral.